AUUGAACGCUGGCGGCAUGCCUUACACAUGCAAGUCGAACGGCAGCAUGGAGAGCUUGCUCUCUGAUGGCGAGUGGCGAACGGGUGAGUAAUGCAUCGGAACGUACCGUGUAAUGGGGGAUAACGUAGCGAAAGUUACGCUAAUACCGCAUACGACCUGAGGGUGAAAGCAGGGGAUCGCAAGACCGUUCGUUAUACGAGCGGCCAAUGUCAGAUUAGCUAGUGGGUGAGGUAAAGGCUCACCAAGGCGACGAUCUGUAGCGGGUCUGAGAGGAUGCUCCGCCACACUGGGACUGAGACACGGCCCAGACUCCUACGGGAGGCAGCAGUGGGGAAUUUUGGACAAUGGGGGCAACCCUGAUCCAGCCAUGCCGCGUGAGUGAAGAAGGCCUUCGGGUUGUAAAGCUCUUUCGGCCGGGAAGAAAUCGCACAGGCUAAUACUCUGUGUGGAUGACGGUACCGGCAUAAGAAGCACCGGCUAACUACGUGCCAGCAGCCGCAGUAA
RNAcentral lists this ribosomal RNA (504 nucleotides) under uncultured bacterium. RNAcentral's name for it is "partial 16S ribosomal RNA". It matches the Rfam family "Bacterial small subunit ribosomal RNA", at positions 30 to 523 of the family's 1533-position model. The record is from RNAcentral.